GAUAGUCCUGGCCUGGGGAGCUCCAUCUUAGAAAUAUAUGCCUGACUCCCAGGAAACACGUUUUGCAAGGUGAUAAGGCCAUGUACCUGGGAAACCCAAGCAACCAUAUUUGAUAAAGCAAAUAACAACUUGAAUUUGAACAGGGAUUUUUGUCAUGUGGACAAGGAACUCGGAAACUAUAAAAUAAAAUAAUACAUGUUAAAAAACUUAAAUUUUGUAUGGCAAUAGACAACAUCAUCGACCCUAGAUUGGGGAAAAUUACAGAUAGCUCGAGCUGGUAUUAAUAAUGAGAAAUGUCUCUUCGUCAUUUAUAAGAAUAAGCUCAGCGCUCAGAGAGUAACGGCAAAGACUGAACGGGAAACUCAGAAGAGCAAAUCCAAGUUGGCUAAGAAACUAGGAAAGAUAAUCAUCGUCCUUAGUAAUCAUGGAAAUGCAAAUUACAGCAACAGGAGACACCGUUCUUACCAGGUGGGCAACAAAAAGGGAGAGAAAUACAGGAUUUUUUCCAAACAGACUUGGGGAAAGCGACUUGACAGACUUUCUUCGCAUGAAAAACUGACAGACCUCUCAACCCAGACAUUCUCCUCUUGAG
This is a long non-coding RNA of Neogale vison (American mink), 592 nucleotides long. RefSeq lists it as uncharacterized. The transcript is spliced from 3 exons. The record is from RefSeq and is a predicted model, not a curated record. NCBI's taxonomy places the organism in Eukaryota, Metazoa, Chordata, Mammalia, Carnivora, Mustelidae.